UACGUAGGGCGCAAGCGUUGUCCGGAAUUAUUGGGCGUAAAGAGCUCGUAGGCGGCCUGUUGCGUCCGCUGUGAAAUCCCGGGGGCUCAACCCCCGGGCCUGCAGUGGAUACGGGCUGGCUAGAGGCAGGCAGGGGAGAACGGAAUUCCUGGUGUAGCGGUGAAAUGCGCAGAUAUCAGGAGGAACACCGAUGGCGAAGGCAGGUCUCUGGGCCACUACUGACGCUGAGAAGCGAAAGCAUGGGGAGCGAACAGG
RNAcentral lists this ribosomal RNA (255 nucleotides) under uncultured bacterium. RNAcentral describes it as "partial 16S ribosomal RNA". It matches the Rfam family "Bacterial small subunit ribosomal RNA", at positions 524 to 776 of the family's 1533-position model. The record is from RNAcentral.